RNAcentral lists this ribosomal RNA (500 nucleotides) under uncultured bacterium. RNAcentral describes it as "partial 16S ribosomal RNA". It matches the Rfam family "Bacterial small subunit ribosomal RNA", at positions 28 to 523 of the family's 1533-position model. The record is from RNAcentral.
GACGAACGCUGGCGGCGUGCCUAAUACAUGCAAGUCGAGCGAGACUCUUCGGAGUCUAGCGGCGGACGGGUGGGUAACACGUGGGCAACCUGCCUGUAAGACUGGGAUAACACCGGGAAACCGGUGCUAAUACCGGAUAAUCCUUUUUCUCUCAUGAGGAAAAGCUGAAAGUCGGUUUCGGCUGACACUUACAGAUGGGCCCGCGGCGCAUUAGCUAGUUGGUGAGGUAACGGCUCACCAAGGCGACGAUGCGUAGCCGAACUGGUAGGGUGAUCGGACACACUGGGACUGAGGCACGGGCCAGACUCCGACGGGAGGCAGCGGUAGGUAAUCUUCCACAAUGGACGUAAGUCUGAUGGAGCAACUCCGCGUGAGCGAUGAAGGCCUUCGGGUCGUAAAGCUCUGUUGUUAGGGAAGAACAAGUACCGGAGUAACUGCCGGUACCUUGACGGUACCUAACCAGAAAGCCACGGCUAACUACGUGCCAGCAGCCGCGGUAA